This 857-nucleotide ribosomal RNA is filed under the name Spirobranchus latiscapus. Its description in RNAcentral is "SSU rRNA". It matches the Rfam family "Eukaryotic small subunit ribosomal RNA", at positions 106 to 906 of the family's 1831-position model. The record is from RNAcentral. Lineage: Eukaryota; Metazoa; Annelida; Polychaeta; Sabellida; Serpulidae.
UCAUAUGUGAUUUCUUAGAUCGUUGCGUCCCUUCGGGGAUGUUUGGAUAACUGUGGCAAUUCUAGAGCUAAUACAUGCAAUCAAGCUCCAACCUUCGGGGACGAGCGCUCUUAUUAGACCAAGGCCAACCUGCUGGGCAACUGGCAGUUAGCUGUGGUGACUCUGGAUAAACACAGUUGAUCGCACGACUUUACGUCGGCGACGUAUCUUUCAAGCGUAUGCCCUAUCAGCUGUCGACGGUAGGGUAGCGGCCUACCGUGGCAUCAACGGGUAACGGGGGAUCAGGGUCCGAUCCCGGAGAGUAAGCCUGAGAGACGGCUUACACAUCUAAGGAAGGCAGCAGGCGCGCAAAUUACCCAAUGGGGAAACCCUGAGGUAGUGACAAGAAAUAACAAUACGCGACUCUUUCGAGGCCGCGUAAUUGGAAUGAGCACAGUCUAAAUCCUUUAGCGAGGAUCAAUUGGAGGGCAAGUCUGGUGCCAGCAGCCGCGGUAAUUCCAGCUCCAAUAGCGUAUAUUAAAGUUGCUGCAGUUAAAAAGCUCGUAGUUGACAAUCGGCGCUCGUCUCGGCGGUCCUGUUCACGCAGGCACUGCCUUGACGGCCUCUACACACUGGCUUGCGGUCGUGCAGGCUGGGAGACUGGCAGCACGUACCAGAGCCCCGGGUGCCCUUCAUUGGGUGCCCGUGGGUGGCCUUUGCGUUUACUUUGAAGAAAUUAGAGUGUUCAAAGCGGGCUCUUGAUAGCUCGGAUACUCGUACAUGGAAUAAUGGAAUAGGACCCUGGGUCAUUUCCGUUGGUCUAUGGCCAUUGGGUAAUGAUUAAAAGGGACUGCCGGGGGCAUUGGUAUGGUGGGGGG